UUUAUUGGAGAGUUUGAUCCUGGCUCAGGAUGAACGCUGGCGGCGUGCCUAAUACAUGCAAGUCGAGCGAAUGGAUUAAGAGCUUGCUCUCAAGAAGUUAGCGGCGGACGGGUGAGUAACACGUGGGUAACCUGCCCAUAAGACUGGGAUAACUCCGGGAAACCGGGGCUAAUACCGGAUAACAUUUUGAACUGCAUGGUUCGAAAUUGAAAGGCGGCUU
This 220-nucleotide ribosomal RNA is filed under the name Bacillus thuringiensis. RNAcentral describes it as "partial 16S ribosomal RNA". It matches the Rfam family "Bacterial small subunit ribosomal RNA", at positions 1 to 213 of the family's 1533-position model. Lineage: Bacteria; Bacillati; Bacillota; Bacilli; Caryophanales; Bacillaceae. The record is from RNAcentral.